RNAcentral lists this ribosomal RNA (253 nucleotides) under uncultured bacterium. Its description in RNAcentral is "partial 16S ribosomal RNA". It matches the Rfam family "Bacterial small subunit ribosomal RNA", at positions 524 to 776 of the family's 1533-position model. The record is from RNAcentral.
UACAGAGGUCUCAAGCGUUGUUCGGAUUCAUUGGGCGUAAAGGGUGCGUAGGCGGCGCCGUUAGUCAGGUGUGAAAUCUCGGGGCUCAACCCCGAAACUGCACUUGAUACUGCGGUGCUCGAGGACUGGAGAGGAGACUGGAAUUCAUGGUGUAGCAGUGAAAUGCGUAGAUAUCAUGAGGAAGGCCAGUGGCGAAGGCGGGUCUCUGGACAGUUCCUGACGCUGAGGCACGAAGGCCAGGGGAGCAAACGGG